UGACCGCUGGCGGCGUGCCUAAUACAUGCACGUCGAGCGAACGGACGAGAAGCUUGCUUCUCUGAUGUUAGCGGCGGACGGGUGAGUAACACGUGGAUAACCUACCUAUAAGACUGGGAUAACUUCGGGAAACCGUAGCUAAUACCGGAUAAUAUUUUGAACCGCAUGGUUCAAAAGUGAAAGACGGUCUUGCUGUCACUUAUAGAUGGAUCCGCGCUGCAUUAGCUAGUUGGUAAGGUAACGGCUUACCAAGGCAACGAUGCAUAGCCGACCUGAGAGGGUGAUCGGCCACACUGGAACUGAGACACGGUCCAGACUCCUACGGGAGGCAGCAGUAGGGAAUCUUCCGCAAUGGGCGAAAGCCUGACGGAGCAACGCCGCGUGAGUGAUGAAGGUCUUCGGAUCGUAAAACUCUGUUAUUAGGGAAGAACAUAUGUGUAAGUAACUGUGCACAUCUUGACGGUACCUAAUCAGAAAGCCACGGCUAACUACGUG
Molecule: ribosomal RNA, 495 nt
Filed under: uncultured bacterium
Lineage: Bacteria
Description: partial 16S ribosomal RNA
Rfam family: Bacterial small subunit ribosomal RNA
Source: RNAcentral